Molecule: non-coding RNA, 7711 nt
Organism: Rhopilema esculentum
Lineage: Eukaryota; Metazoa; Cnidaria; Scyphozoa; Rhizostomeae; Rhizostomatidae
Source: RefSeq, a predicted model, not a curated record
CCAAAUUGUUUUGUAAAUGCUUAACUAACAUUUUGAUAUACUGUAUAUUUGAUUACAUUUUGAUGUACUGCAUUGAGAUGGGAGUCAUAUGCAGCUAGAUCAAUUUCAAAUUGAGGUAUUGCUACCUUAGGCUUUAAAUGAGCGUUUGAAAAAUUCAAUGGUCUGAGGAGUCGCUUUUAUACAGGGACUUUCAGAAAAAAGGGAGAACGGCAAAAAAUAGAAUGGGUACAUGGAAACAAAUUAAAUUUUCUGCCUGGAAGUAUUCUAAGGUGUAAUAGAAAAGAACAAGAUCAGAUUUAUCAUGUAAGCGACAAGAGUGUCAUUGUGUUCUUUUGAUGGAUAAAAAUAAUUGAACUAUUACACUCUUUUUUUAUAACAACCAGUAAAUUUAAGUUCAGGCUGACUGUUCUUAAUUUUUUCGAAAAUCUUAGGCUGGAUUGUUCUUAAUUUGUACUUAAUUAAUAGGGUGCAAGAGUGCAAUUGCUAGCUUCUUCGCUCUAGGAAGAUGUUCAAGCCUCAUUUGCCAACAAAAUAAGUGAGACAACCUUCAUUUGCCAAAAAGUCUGAAUAUUCACCGAAAAAGCACCUGCACAUGGCUAAAAAUCCUCGUUUGUGAGAUAAAACGCUUUUCAAAAUUGAAUUUUACAGUAGCUCAACCAAAGCUUGUUCUCAAUUUGUUUUUUACUUUUGACCAAUUUGAGGCUUGUGUUCUUCUAAAAUUUUUCCUAUAAGAAAGAGUUUAGUUGCAGCAAAACAAAGGGUAAAAUCGUUUGUUCAAUAUGGAGCUAAGGUAUAAACUUUAUCCGGUUUUAACUUUUCAACACAGGCUUACAAUGUUACAAUGUUGAAGCUGGUGUAAAUCAAGUGAGGCUGAUUAGCUAGAAAAGAAAGGAUAAAUUCCCUAUAAACUCUAAAUAUGAUGGAAAGUUGCAAUCAUUAAUGAAAUUUCCGACAAACCCAAAGAAGUCCUUUUUCACAAAGGGAAAAAGGGAACACGCUUUUUACAUUUUUUCAUUUUCCAACAAAUGGGUUCAAAUUUGCUCUGGAGAGCAAAUUUUUGCAGCAUCAACAAUUCUGAUGCAUUUAGUUUUAUUGCUUACACUCUUUUUAUUAAGAACCAGUAAAUUGAUCUUCUGGCUGGUUGUACUUAACUUUUCCUUAACUUUGAGGCUGAAUUGUUCUUAUUUUGUUCAUAAACUAUUGGAGUGUGAGAAGUGCAGUCGCUAGUUAUAGUGCUCAGGGGGAGUGUUCAGGCCCCAUUUGCUAGCAAAGUAAGCGAUCCUUUCUUUAUUUGCCGACAAGCUUGAAAAUCCACCACAAAAGCACUCAUAGACAGGGUUGCCAUUUGGCCGUGUUGACGGCCAAAUUCCUCUAUUCUGACCGUUUUUCAAAGCUGUUGGCCUUCGAAAAUUGAUUUGGCCGAAAAAGCGAAAGUUGGCCGAAUUUUUGCCGCAUGUCGAAAGCCACAAAAAUAUAAAGAAAAUUGAAAUUGAAAGCAAGUGGGAGCUUUGUAACAAACAAAGUCAAUUUUGAUUACACUAUUACUCCACAGGAUUAGCAAAAAUGUAGCUUUUUUGUAUAUUUUUUUGGCGGGCCGAAUUGGGCCGCCAACCAUUCCAAUCAUCUGGCAACCCUGCUCAUAGAUGGCAAAAUACUCCUCAUUUCUAUGGUGGAAUCAUUUAAAAGGGGGCUUUAUUCAAAAUUAUAUUUUACAGUACCUCAACAUUAUCUUGUUCUUGAUUUGUUCUUAAUCUCUGACCAAUUUUGAGGCUCGUAUCUUUAAAAAAAAGCAUGUUAGAGUAUAGGAACUUUUGUGUGGAACAGGAUAGGAGGAGGGGGUUUAUAGGAACAGGCAGGUUUUCCAUUGUUUAGAGCAGGAAAGUGAUGGGGGGGGGGUGGAUGUGAUUUAAUUCAGCAAUAUACCGUGUUAGAAUAGUAAAAUGCAACACUUAUAAACGAUUCCAGAUUAACCUUGUAGUUAUUAUUCACAAACCAUGCGAAGCCUGAAACCAUUUCUUCAAUGCCUGGUCAACAAGAUUCACUUGGAGGAGGACUUGAAGAGCCCUUGGCAAUGUAUAUGCAGACGUCCUUCCUUUACAGUGGGUUGAAGGCAUUAUUUUUAUGGAACCAUCGAUUUUUGUAUAAUUUUAGAUGAAGAGCUCUGAAGGGAAAACCUUAGUUGCUAAAAACUUGGAGGGAGGCCAUUGCUCUUUUAGGCUUUUGCCAAAUGUCCUCACGGCACUAAAUGGUUCAUGUAAGUGGAAUUCUAGGGGAAGGUCCUUUUCCCCUUAAAAAACUACUUCCUACAGUUAAACUUCACCUUUUAUACUACAUAUGUCAAAUUUUCAAUUUUAAACAAUCAGUGACCAGUUUAAUCGAAAGAAAGAAAUUUGCUUCUAUUUAUGUGGUGAUAUGUUUUUUUGUUGCAAAUUUUCAUGGAUCAGUUUCAGACGAUUCAAUAGCAUACUCAAUACAGACAAUCAUUGUUUCACUUGCAUGGUUCCUGAUAUUUUCUCAGUAGACUGCUUAUCAUUCUUUGAUAUGAUGCUCAAGUGAAGGAUAACUGAUCGAGUGUUGCCCUUUUCAUGUCAAACUGCCCCAUCCUGUUCUAUUGUCAUCUAAUCUUGCUUUAGUGAGAAAAUCUGACAAGCUGGGGAGACGUUUUAGAAGAUAUGUUGUGAUUUGGACAUUUCUGGAUGAGAGACGAAGUGAAUAUUAGAAGAAAAUCAGAAGGAAAAUGUUAAAGACGAGGAGAAAGAAAAGACCAUUCACGAAUUUUACUUGAUGAGAUGUUUGGAUAAGAGCUUUCAAAUGCUAAGAAGUACAGACUCAAGAGAAUCAUUGGCACUCCCUGAAUGGUUAAUAUGCAUAAAAAAGCUGUUGAUUUGACUUCAAAGCCAGCGGGAAAAUUCUUCUUGAGAAAAGUUACUUAAAAUAGGAAUUUUGAAUGUGUCUAAUUUCCCUCGCUAACUGUAAAGUCAGAAAAACCUGGACCCUGGAACAAAUUUUCAAGUGUUGUUGCUGACCUUAAUGGUAAAACUUUCAAAGAUCAUUUGUCACCCCAGUUUUGGAGAUAAAGGCUUUUUUUAACUCGAAUAACAGAAAAUCAAAACAGUUACGAAAGAAGCAAAUUCAUUGUGCAAUAAAAGAAACCCCAAAUUUAAGGUUACUACCAUUCUACCCAGGGCUGUCUCUAACUACUGUGUUAAGACGAGGAAGGGAGGGGGGUUUCAGACCAAAUUUUCCAGAUAAAGCGGGUGAGCAAUCCUUUCAUUACCGAAAAUUGUACAGAACAAACUGGGUGACGAAGCACCCUUAUGUGGCAAAACUCCCCCUAACCCUCACCGAAGCGGCGGCCCUGAUUCAACCUGUCCUUCACAUCAUAAUCUCUCUUUUCUCUUUCAUUUUCAUGUUUAAUCUUUAGAUUUUUCAACAACACGAAAUUCUGUUUAAUUGUGCUAAUUUCCUCUUAAAAAACGACGUGAGCAAAUGAUGGCAGAGGUAUAUUUCCGCACCAUAACCACAUACGGAAAUAAACCGAUGACCGCCCCAGUUCAUUGUGAAGAUCUCCAGAAAAUGAUCCUUCUAGAAGAUCUCCGACAACCAUUACCAUAGGCUACACUCUUUAUUCGAUUUGGAUCUAACUCUUUCUUUUUUUGCUGAUUUUGAAUACAGCAAAAUAUCUUUUUCAUAACAAUAAUGAUAACGAUAUAAAUGUUUAGACUGUCUAAUUAUAAUGGUCGCCUUUUCAGCAACAAAGAUGUUGUUAUCAAUAAGAAUAAGGUCUAUACACAGGUAUUGCCAAUAGAAGUUUGGAAGUAAUUUCAGAACAAGAAUAAAUUGUACAGUUUGUAGUACACUCUUUUUUUAUAAGAACCAGUAAAUUUAAUUUCAGGCUGACUGUUCUUAAUUUUUUCGAAAAUCUGAGGCUGGAUUGUUCUUAAUUUGUUCUUAAAUUAAGAGGGUGUAAGCAGUGCUAUUGCUAGCUUUUUCGCUCUAAGGAGGUGUUCAGGCCUCAUUUGCUAACAAAGUGAAUGAGACAGCCUUAAUUUGCUGACAAAUUUGAAUAUUCACCGAAAAAGCACCCACACAUCGCUAAAAAUCCUCGAUUUUGAGAAAAACGUUGUUCAAAAUUGCAUUUUGCAGAAGCUCAGCCUCAGCUUGUUCUUAAUUUGUUCUUAACUUUUGACCAGUUUUAAGGCUCGUGUUCUUAUAAAAUUGUUCUUAUAAAAAAACAAUUUGUAUUGUAAGAGUGUAAAUGUAGGGGCUAAGGCUAACCAGUGGCGUAACGCAGUUUGAGGCAUCUUAGGUCGAUAACCAAGGGCCCCCGGCCAAAAGGGGCACCUAAAUUGUUUUCGCAUCCACGUUUUUUACACUUCGCUCAAGUUCAACCGUUUUAAAAGAACUUUUUAGAAACAAAUCCCCUAAUUAAUGAGAAAAAUUAUCAUGUUCACAUCUUGCUAUUGUGUUUAAAAUGCUCUAGACUCUUGGAUGGGACUAUUUUGCAGUCCAUUAAUUGGGGCCGUGUCUCUGUUUUUCGUUAGGGCUCCCGGUGGCUCCAUUACCGCACUGGGGAUAACGCUUAAUAAAGUUGAAUAUGGAUUGUCCAGCAUUAGAAUAUUGUAUGAUAGUAAGAAGUGCUAUCAUUAAAGUAAUACCAAGAAAAAAUUAUAAAACUAAAAAACAGUUUUCAAACGAAAUUUUUCAUUUCAAUAUUUUGUCGAAAUACGAAACAUGACUAGACUUUCCUUUAUUUGAAACAUGACCAGACUUUUCUAGACUUUUACAACAAAGCGAUUGUCUGGGGUCGUUUUCAAAGAUAAAAGAGUUUUGCAGAUAUUGUAGAUGAUUUAUGCCUCUCUAAUCUGAAAAAGUUUUCAUAAAACCUAUCUACUUAACUGACUUCUAGAUGAAUCAUUUUAUGCCUCUGAGUCAAUAUGUUGUUCAUAUUGUUUCCUGGUAAGACACGUUAAUCUUUACUGCCCUUCGUAUUAUGCUUUGUUCGUUAAUUGUGUCAUUACCUCUGAUUCAUCAGCCACAUUUUCCUGCGUUGUUGCUGAACUCACAGAAGUCCUAGUUUUAGAAAUGCAGUUGCCAAUAAAACAGUUUUCUCUUCAGAGUGCUUUCAAAUGGUCUCCCUAACUUCAUUUUUCUUUAUGAAGAGAAGAUACAGUUUUGAAAACUGCAUUGAAUAAUUUUUGAUUUUCUUUUACAGAGAAAAUACUGUCAUCGUAAUCUUUUCGUUGAUUGACUGAAGAAGUACCCUGUCACAAGUAAGCUCAGGGCGUAAAUACUUACUCUUUGCAGUGAACUCGAGAAAAUUGAUUCAUUCUAUAAAUAAUCAUUUGUUUCAAAUGCUCUCUGCCCUAAAAUUCUUGUAGUCUUAUGAGGUGACACCCUUAACCCCCGAAGGAAAGAAAAUAUUACCUAACAACAGAGCUGUUUCGUGUCUGAAAACACUGAAUGUCAAUUAUUUGGAUUCCUACGUUAAAUGAGGGAUUAACUGACGACAAUGCAUUGGAGUUCGCAUUCAGAUGAAGUAUGAUUAUUUCUUAAUGGCAGCGUAAGGCAUUGUCAUUUUCCAACCAUUUAAGGAAAGUGAUUGCAGCGGGCAAGCAAUUCGUACUGACAUCUCCGCGCACUAAAUGCACACGCAAACUGCAUAAACCCCGACUUAUUGUUGUCAAUAUCCGCAGAUGGACAAACAAUGUACACAUUCCUCUCGCGUUUCUAUAGCUACGUGGAAUUUUAAAAAAAUAUUACAAAGACGUAGGCUGCUAAUGUGUUUGGUAUAAAAUAUUUGAUUGCAUGUGUAUGACAUUGUACAGCUAAAUAUUGACAUUAGCGUUGUUCUUGACUAAACAUAUAAAAACACCAUGCCCUUCAACCCCAGACACACCCUAGGUGCCAGUGCUUUAAAUAUAAAAGAAUUUUAAUUAAAACGAAAUGGAAAAUUGUCUCUUUUUGCCCCCUAUCUUUGUUACAGGCAAGAACCAAGAUACCGGGGACGGGGGUCUUGACCCCCAACAAAUAUAAUGCCUCCCAACAAACUCAAAUAGCAUAAGUAAACUACUUUUAUUUUGUAAAAUAUUGCUGUUGUUUCACUUAUUCACCCCCCCCCCCAAACAAAAAGUUGUAUCUUGGUCUUUGGCUACAGGAGACACUUGCAUCCAGGGUACUGUAGACUAUAUACCGACAACUAGUGCACAACAUUUACAUGAAUGCUUACUAUAACUUUCAAUUCUUACUUCACUUCACUGUUUCAAUAUCAGUUACAAACAAAUUACGGUACUGUUGUUAGUUAUCAAAGUUGAAUCGUCUAGAGCAGUAACUUUGAGUCCAAGUCAUAAGACUUGCCGCAGCUCAGCACUUUUGAGGCUUCAGCAGAGUUGGCUGGGGGACGACAAACAUUGAGAAAAUUGAUGUAUUAAUAGAAAUAUUGAUGUGUAGGGUUCAUCAUUCUUACGCCCAAAAAAGAGAAAGGCAGUAAUUUAGACUUUUAUAAUUCAACUUGCACAUCAUGGAGGGUCAAAGAUCCUAAUAGUGCAGACUUAAUUGUGACAUAUUUGAAUAUUUAUACCUCAUUUAUGUCCAUUAAUAUACAACUGGGUCUUGGCACCUUUUCCCUAGCAAGAGUUGUGAAAUGACGAAUAGGAAAAUCAAAAUCUAAAACAAUAUAUAACAUAACGUUAUGCAGUGUACGCACAAGUAAUAGUCUUGCUUGUUAUGAAGUAACAUUUCGAUCAAAACGCAGUUAAACAAAUGAAAAUUGUGGUAAGAUUGAGCCUUGCAACUGUUGGACGUUUGACCUUACAAUUAUACCCUUUGGACUAAACUAUGUAAAAGAGUAAACUUUGAAUAGAGUAUGCCCCCGUUUACCAAUUGAGUUAAAUUGUCUGUAAUGUUUUGCACUGUAAAUGAGAUUCCUGUCUGGUUUAUGUAGCAUUAUGAUUUUAUUUAAGAUUAGUGUUCUUUAGAACUCGAGUAAAAAUUUUCGUUUUUUGCAAAGCUUCGAAUUUAAAUCCGGUGUUCCCCUUUUUCUGUUGGUGGGUUAAAUACCAUCAAGUUCUUUUGGUAACCUGCACGCGAUUUCUUCAAGCAAUAAAUUUAUCAAACCACAUCGUCUUCGAAACUCGAGCUGCACGCAAUUUCCACAAUUUCUAGUUCGUUUCCAGUUGCAGCACAAAGAAGAUCUCGGCUCAGAAGAAGACUUCCUGAUCCUUGGCCACACAAUUCACGUGCAGGUUGAGCACCCUUGCUUCAUACCACAAUCAAGAUAUGCCCAAAUUAUCUAAAAGCAAAUAGACACAAAAUCAAAUCUCAUUGGUCGAAUUUUUCAACAUGACCAUAUACGGGUUUAUGAUAUAACCGCAGAAAGCCUCCUCUCUCCAUUUGACGUCAAUCAAUUGCAAGACAUGGCUUCUCGGUGAGAGAAAUGUAUGCAACUGGUAAACAAAUUCCGUGCAUGGGCGGGAGGGCAGCCCAGACAAUAUAGAAUCAAAAACAAUGAAGUUGAUGUAUAUAACUGUGUAUGACUAGUUUAUAUUGUUUACACCUAACAACCGCAUCCUAUUGUUUGACCCUGGAGUCAGAGGGUAUAAAAGUGCUGCUACUUGUUCAGAGCAUCAGAUUCCAGAAGAUUCAGAAAAGAAACGAUCAUCGAGAGUUCUCUCCAGAGAUAUCCUGAUAGUGAAGACAAGCAAGAGUUGAC